This 308-nucleotide long non-coding RNA is filed under the name Mytilus galloprovincialis (Mediterranean mussel). Lineage: Eukaryota; Metazoa; Mollusca; Bivalvia; Mytilida; Mytilidae. The record is from RNAcentral.
AAAAAAAAAAGAAAAUAUGAUAAUUCAAUUCAUCAUCAUCAGAGUAUUGGUGUUUGCCAGUGGCAAGUAUUUCAUGCACGUAUAGUUUUAACCAUCAUUCUCAUUAUGACCUCUUUAUAAUCAGAAUCGUGAAACAACGACAAAAAGACAUUUAAAUAUAUACUCAUUACUUUAUAAAUACAAAAGUACAUUAAUGUUUAAUAGAUUGAAGUGGAAAUUCAAUUUAACGUACAUAUGUAGCACUCAGAAACGUGUCCGAUUCCCCAACACGUGUCCAUGUGACGUCAAUGAUCUGAUAAACAUGUCAA